CAGCAGCCGCGGUAAUACGAAGGGGGCUAGCGUUGCUCGGAAUGACUGGGCGUAAAGGGCGCGUAGGCGGAUUGUUUAGUUAGGCGUGAAAUUCCUGGGCUUAACCUGGGGACUGCGCUUAAUACAGGCAGUCUAGAGUGAGGAAGAGGGUUGUGGAAUUCCCAGUGUAGAGGUGAGAUUCGUAGAUAUUGGGAAGAACACCGGUGGCGAAGGCGGCAACCUGGUCCUUGACUGACGCUGAGGCGCGAAAGCGUGGGGAGCAAACAGGAUUAGAUACCCCCGUAGUCCCUGUCUCUUAUAC
This 301-nucleotide ribosomal RNA is filed under the name uncultured bacterium. RNAcentral's name for it is "partial 16S ribosomal RNA". It matches the Rfam family "Bacterial small subunit ribosomal RNA", at positions 509 to 807 of the family's 1533-position model. The record is from RNAcentral.